This 1250-nucleotide ribosomal RNA is filed under the name Candidatus Phytoplasma trifolii. Its description in RNAcentral is "bacterial SSU rRNA". It matches the Rfam family "Bacterial small subunit ribosomal RNA", at positions 135 to 1381 of the family's 1533-position model. Lineage: Bacteria; Bacillati; Mycoplasmatota; Mollicutes; Acholeplasmatales; Acholeplasmataceae. The record is from RNAcentral.
AGACGAGGAUAACAAUUGGAAACGGUUGCUAAGACUGGAUAGGAAACAAAAAGGCAUCUUUUUGUUUUUAAAAGACCUUCUUAUGAAGGUAUGCUUAAAGAGGGGCUUGCGCCACAUUAGUUAGUUGGUAGGGUAAAAGCCUACCAAGACGAUGAUGUGUAGCUGGACUGAGAGGUUGAACAGCCACAUUGGGACUGAGACACGGCCCAAACUCCUACGGGAGGCAGCAGUAGGGAAUUUUCGGCAAUGGAGGAAACUCUGACCGAGCAACGCCGCGUGAACGAUGAAGUAUUUCGGUAUGUAAAGUUCUUUUAUUGAAGAAGAAAAAGUAGUGGAAAAACUAUAUUGACGUUAUUCAAUGAAUAAGCCCCGGCUAACUAUGUGCCAGCAGCCGCGGUAAGACAUAGGGGGCGAGCGUUUUCCGGAAUUAUUGGGCGUAAAGGGUGCGUAGGCUGUUAGAUAAGUCUAUAAUUUAAUUUCACUGCUUAACGCUGUCUUGUUAUAGAAACUGUCUUGACUAGAGUGAGAUAGAGGCAAGCGGAAUUCCAUGUGUAGCGGUAAAAUGUGUAAAUAUAUGGAGGAACACCAGAAGCGUAGGCGGCUUGCUGGGUCUUUACUGACGCUGAGGCACGAAAGCGUGGGUAGCAAACAGGAUUAGAUACCCUGGUAGUCCACGCCGUAAACGAUGAGUACUAAGUGUCGGGGUAAAACUCGGUACUGAAGUUAACACAUUAAGUACUCCGCCUGAGUAGUACGUACGCAAGUAUGAAACUUAAAGGAAUUGACGGGACUCCGCACAAGCGGUGGAUCAUGUUGUUUAAUUCGAAGAUACACGAAAAAUCUUACCAGGUCUUGACAUACUCUGCAAAGCUUUAGAAAUAUAGUGGAGGUUAUCAGGGAUACAGGUGGUGCAUGGUUGUCGUCAGUUCGUGUCGUGAGAUGUUAGGUUAAGUCCUAAAACGAGCGCAACCCUUGUCGUUAAUUGCCAGCACGUAAUGGUGGGGACUUUAGCGAGACUGCCAAUUAAACAUUGGAGGAAGGUGAGGAUUACGUCAAAUCAUCAUGCCCCUUAUGAUCUGGGCUACAAACGUGAUACAAUGGCUGUGACAAAGAGUAGCUGAAACGCGAGUUUUUAGCCAAUCUCAAAAAAGCAGUCUCAGUUCGGAUUGAAGUCUGUAACUCGACUUCAUGAAGUUGGAAUCGCUAGUAAUCGCGAAUCAGCAUGUCGCGGUGAAUACGUUCUCGGGGUU